UACGAAGGGUGCAAGCGUUAAUCGGAAUUACUGGGCGUAAAGCGUGCGUAGGCGGUUUGUUAAGUCUGCUGUGAAAUCCCCGGGCUCAACCUUGGGCUUGCAGUGGGUACGGGCAGACUAGAGUGCGGUAGGGGUGACUGGAAUUCCCGGGUGUAGCGGUGAAAUGCGCAGAUAUCGGGAAGAACACCCGUGGCGAAGGCGGCCCACUGGGCCGGUACUGACGCUGAGGCACGAAGGCGUGGGGAGCGAACGGG
RNAcentral lists this ribosomal RNA (254 nucleotides) under uncultured bacterium. RNAcentral's name for it is "partial 16S ribosomal RNA". It matches the Rfam family "Bacterial small subunit ribosomal RNA", at positions 524 to 776 of the family's 1533-position model. The record is from RNAcentral.